CCCUUAGAUGUUCUGGGCCGCACGCGCGCUACACUGGCGAUGGCAACGAGUUUUUCCUUCGCCGAAAGGUGUGGGUAAUCUUUUGAAACAUCGUCGUGCUGGGGAUAGAUCAUUGCAAUUUUCGAUCUUGAACGAGGAAUUCCUAGUAAGCGCGAGUCAUCAGCUCGCGUUGAUUACGUCCCUGCCCUUUGUACACACCGCCCGUCGCUACUACCGAUUGAAUGGUUUAGUGAGGACUCCUGAUUGGCGCCGCCGCCCCGGCAACGGAGCAGCGGACUGCCGAAAAGUUGUUCAAACUUGAUCAUUUAGAGGAAGUAAAAGUCGUAACA
This 329-nucleotide ribosomal RNA is filed under the name uncultured eukaryote. RNAcentral describes it as "partial 18S ribosomal RNA". It matches the Rfam family "Eukaryotic small subunit ribosomal RNA", at positions 1470 to 1796 of the family's 1831-position model. The record is from RNAcentral.